RNAcentral lists this long non-coding RNA (12553 nucleotides) under Linum usitatissimum (flax). Its description in RNAcentral is "long non-coding RNA (LUSI_LNC002686)". The record is from RNAcentral. Lineage: Eukaryota; Viridiplantae; Streptophyta; Magnoliopsida; Malpighiales; Linaceae.
UGAGCUGGCUUGCAUUUCGGUUUGUUUGGGUUUUGUUUUUUUGUUAAAUUUAAGCAAGAGGGGACAAAAUCUCAGCCCUUCCAUGCCUUUUUUCCUUUUAUCUUGCUUGGUUUCCGGGAAGAAGAGUCAAUCUGAGUUAGCAUCUGAGACGAUCUUUUCAGGAUGGUUUAUGCUUUUCUUUCUGAAGGUUCAUUUUAAUUGAAUUAACCUAUUAUUUAAAUGUAGCUAAUUAUGUAGCAAUUAUAUACUUUUACUAGUCUGCAGUACCGUUGUGGGUUUACAUUUAAUGUUUGUAACUUGUACGGUAUGGCAGCUUUGAAAUUGGGGAAGCAAGUUGAUGAUCUUUGAAACUGGCAAAUUGCAUUCAUGGCGUCCUCAGGGAUUCCCCCCAACUUAUCUGUAAUAAAUAGAAGAGACAUACUAUCCAAAACUAAGGAGAAAGGACAAGUGUCGGGUAUGUAUUCGCUCGUGGUUCAAUGAAUAGAAUUGCGUGUUAGUAAUAUGAAAGUAUUAGGUUUGAAUUUAAUUACUUUUCGCAACCGGAUAUUAAGACCAAAAAAUAGAAUUAGGUACCGUAAUUCAGUGAUUGUUUCAUAAAAAAUAAAAUGGUCACUAAUUUAUUAAUCACAUAGUGUGAUCGUUUUUGAGUUUUGAGAACAAUUUUAUAUGGCCCCUAAAAACAAAUUACAAUUGGCAGAGCAAACUAUAGAUUUCAAUUUACAUGUAUCUAACCUAAUUCACUGACCGCUUCAUAUAAAUGGUCACUAAAAAUCUACUCAUGAUCAUUAAUGAUAUUUUUUGGUUUUGAAUUUUUUUUAUACAGUCACUAAAACAAAUUGCAAUUGGCCGAGCAAACUAUAGAUGUAUCUAAUUUUCAGAGGAAGGAAAAAUAAUAUACUCAAAACCUUAGUGAACACAAAUUAAGAGGAGUUAGCUAGAGUUCAAAUUCAGAAUUUCAGGGUAUCCGUAGUUAUGAUUUACUUGCAUACUGGUCGGCAAGAUUUAUCAGUCGGGUUGGGACAUUUGGAUGGGAGAUAUAUGAAUGUUUGGCAGCACACGUGUAAACGAUGGGGAGAGUUAAUUAUAACUUACUAUUUAUCAGUGCCAUCCUUGCGUAGGGGUCGUACUAAUCUUUUCCGUAUCAUUUCAAUUUUAUCGGAUGCUCCGAAAGGACGAGUUAAUUAUAACUUAUAAAGGAUAUCGAAAGAGACGAAUUGUAGAAACGGCCUUUUGAGUGGUUUCGCUUUUGUCUGCCAUGUUAUCGGUGGCGACAACAUUAGUAAUGAUCAACACAGCAACCCCCACAUUCUUUCCUUUGUAACACAUGCAAAUGCCCGGUUAUGUCGCUUGUCUUCCCGCCGGCCGACGUGUGUCUUUGCUACAUAAUACGUAUCAUUAUUAAGUUGACCUCAUUAAAAGAACCAAAUCAGUACGUACACUCAUUCGAAUACUGGGAUUCGAGAAUCUUGCAUGCCACAUGCCAAAUACACCUGAACAUAUUAAUGUACAAAUUAAACCCAUGAUAUAACCGCUUACAUGAACGAAUCAUGAAUUGUCAAGCAAACGUCUGAAAGUAAAUCACACAACUACAUCGAAGAGACCCCACCGUCCUGUUAGUAUCGGCCUGGUUAUACAAAGUUAGUCAAUGGGCCGAGGUUCUGAAAUCCUAGUUGGGCCACGAAUGGGCUUCUACUGCCUGCCCAAUCACAUUUAUGCGGGGCGUCCCAAGCGGAUAUUACAAACGGGUAAGCAUGCGGAAUCCCGGUAACGACUAACCGCCUUUGACUUUUCUUACCACCUAGAGUUCAAUAAAUUGUUGUUGCGGAAUCGAAAUUUUCCGUUUUUCUCAUUUCAAAAUUUUGAAUUACAGCUAUUAAUCAGCAUGCCUGAAGAACACGGAGGAGGAGGAGGAGGAAGAAGAGAUAAGGUGAGGGAUUUGAUCGAGAAAGCUACCGAUUCAACGGCGGCUUACGUAGACCCUCGUCUCCUCACGGCCAUCAAAUCGACGGUCCGCUACUCGGAUUCCGAGCUCCGGCUCGCCGCUCAAACCCUAAUGGAACUCAUGAAACGCGAUCACUCUCAGGUUCCGCUUUUGAUUUUCAUACUUCUUCCAUCCUCGUAGUGCUCAUUUUCGCUUACUGUACUCCUUGGCGAUUUCAAUUUGAUUCAAGUUACGCUAUAUGAUGGAACAAGACGUCGGUAGUUUUGGACAGUAAGGUUUUAGGGUUUCAAAUUUAGUACAAAUCCAGUGUCGUAUCAAUUUCGAAUUUCUGGCGGGAAUCUCAAUGAAUUUUUGCGUAUUGGUCUUUGUUGAGAUUGAGGCGUUUAUGUUUUCUUCAGGUGCGUUAUCUCUCCCUUUUGAUAGUCGACGAACUUUUCAUGCGAUCGAAGCUAUUUAGAAGCAUUCUUGUAGAGAAUUUGGACCAGCUGUUGACCUUAAGCGUUGGUUUCAAAAGAAAUCUCCCGCUUCCUGCUCCACCUGCUGUUGCCACUGUUCUGCGAUCAAAGGCAAUUGAAUUCUUGGAGAAGUGGAAUGAAUCAUUUGGGGUUCACUAUCGACAAAUCAGACUAGGAUUCGACUAUCUCAAGAACACUUUGCGCCUGCAGUUUCCUAACAUACAGGGGAACAUAGCACGCAUUCGGCAGGAGAGGAGCGAGAGGGAGGCGAGGUCGAAAGAGAUUCUGCAGAAAAAGUUUGAAACUCUGAAGGAAAAUCUGUCUUCUAUGAAAGAAGAGAUUCAGGAGACGAUUGAUGAGAUUAACCAAUGCCUGGAAAUCGUUACUUGUCAAGAGGACAGGCCCCUCAGCCCUAUAGACGAGGAAGAUUACGAGGGGGAGUUUCGAUCGUUAGAGCUGCAGCAAAUCCGUAUCAACUCGUUAAAGGAAGCGGAAAAGGUCCAGGAGGAUGCUGAGAAUAGAGUGGUUUUCGAUACGCUGAGGGAGCAUUACAAACUUCUGGUGACGAAGCAUCUAGUUUCUGUGCAGGAAUCGAUCUCUGUUCUUGUAAGGGUUGAAGUGACGACGAAUGCUAGACUCCUGGAUUCUAUGCUGAAAGAACUCAUCGACUUCCGGAAUCAAAUCCAAUCAGUGAAGAAAAAAUGUGCCGAAUCAGGCUGUUCUCUCCCUGCCGUUACAAAGACUGAUAAUAAAGAAGAGGAAGAAGAAGAUUUUUGGGAGGAAGGUAAAGUUGAGAAAUCGACUGGAAUUGGGGCCUCCAGCGGAUCGUCGAACAAGCCGAAUGGAAGUUCAUCCGAGCUGUCAACUUCCCGUGAGGUGAAAAAACAGUCGCCUGAAUCUGGCGACAGUAACUCGAAACGUAUCAAGACUGAUUCCAACCCUCUUAAAAGUAAGCUCCUAGAAGAAGCGCCGGUCGUACAACGGGGCUCGUUCUUGGAUAAUUGGGGUCCGAAUCGGGACGUAUUGGCGAACCACAGGGGUAUGGAGAUUGAUAAUCACUGGGGUAGGGUUGACUACGAUGCAGUGAUUCCAGCAGAAAGAAUUGCAGAGCUGAACAUGUCUGCUACUGUAUACAAAGAAAAGCAAGUCGAAAUCCAGCCAUGUCGUGCCCCGUUACGAAAAGGCGGACUUUGUCCAAGGAGGGACUUGAGAGUGUGUCCUUUCCACGGACCUGUCGUUCCCAGAGACGAUGAAGGAAAUCCCAUCGUUCAAAGCACGGAGUCGACUCCUUCGACAAGUCUCGAGCCAUUUCCAAAGUCUGAAAAUCCGAACAGCUGCAAAGAUCUCGACUUUGGAGUCGAUCUAGCAAAGCAAGCAGUGAGAAACGUGAGGGAUAGAGAGAAUGCUGGUGCCAAGAGGAGGAAGAUGGAGAUGCAGUCGAUGAAACGUGCUAAGCGUGCUAAGAUACGGGAACAUAACGAAACGGUUCUGAAAGAUGCCGCAUCGGCCUCAAGUUCGAGAUCUGGAUGGGGUGGAGAAGGAGAUGUUGAUGCUGCAUUGUCAUCUAGAAACAAGAAGGAAACCCUUGCAUCGAUGCUAAGCAAGAAAGUAACGAGGAAGGACAGGCUAUCGCAACGACUUUUGAGUAUGAAAGCCAGCGAUUCCACCUUCAGGCAGCUUACUCAGGGUGCUGACUCAACGUAUCGAGACGCCUUCCCGAAUCAGUGGUAGUACAGCCAGAUAUCGAGUUAGCUCGCUCGGUCGCUCCUCGAACAUUAUUGUGGCGUAGAACUGGCUUGUGCAGCGAAGGCACAGGAUAUGUAAAAAGAUUCAUGGUGGCUACAUUCAGGUAUAGAUUCUGAUUUAACUUCAUUAUUGUCUUAUCUUAUGAAUAAACAUCGUUUUGCUUUGUAUUAGACGCUUUGUACAGAAUGAGAAACUGAUAUGAUGGUUAUGAUACCUUAUCAGACCGAACAUUAUGGUUGAACCGGGAUAUCGAGCAAUGCUGAGUUCGAUUUGGAAUCCUUUAAACUGUCGGUGAUUGUAUCAAAACUGAAGACAUCGAUUAGCGAUUCAAAGCUCGCAUUCUUUUCACUUCAAGUCAGAGUUCCGUUGUCUGAUCUUGCUAGCUAACUUGGAGGGCUAAUGUAGCAUCACCCGAUCUGAAAUGGCAGCUAACCAUCCCCCGGGUCUUGUACUCAUCACCUAUAAUACUAUGGAAGCUAACCAUGUUAGCUGAUUUAAGUGAAAACCUUGCGUCUCACUAAUUCGAAUCAUUAUGUGAAAACUUUCGAAAGAGUGAGGUUUAUACAAUCUCCCUAAAUUUUGUACAAAGGAUUGGGGAUUAUGAACUUCGAAUGCCUUACAUUUUACCGGUCAAAGGCUUUAAUACUCUAUUAAGAAUCAUCGUCUCAUAACAACUCAAGUUAUUGCAAUAUAAUAAUUUUUUAUUCGUAUUUGAUUCUAACUCAAAACUAUAUAUGCUAAGAUUAUGUUUCUUCAUUUUUUAAUAGAAAAUGAAAGAUGUGACACACUCCAUGACAAAAAGAGAGGCAUUAGAUUACUUUGGAAUUGAGCCUUGGUCAUAAAAAGGAAUCAUUAAUAAUAAAAAAUACUUUUAAAAUAAAUAAAAAAGACUUUUAAAAUAAAUAAAAAAUAAAUCCAUUUCCGGAAAUCUCCGAACUCGGCCUCUCUCUCUCUCUCUCUUCCAUUAGUCAUCUUCUUCUUCUUCUUCUUCUUGAAGACCGUUUGCGCCCAUACUCUCUCUGCAACUUCCACCCAUCUGAUCUCUCAUCAACCGGCCGCCACUAAUCCUUCGCUGAUCCGUUUUCAGAUUUUCCAUUUCCACUCAUGCACAUCCAUCCACACAGAAACCUUUCACCACCUUUUCCUCCUUCUUGUUGAUCGAUUUGACUUCCAAUCCCUAAUCGUCAAAUGGAAGUGGACGGCAGCCAAUGCGUGCCGUCAACGGAAGACGAGGAGACCGCCGAUCUCCACCGGCGACAUCCGUUCCCUUCUUCUUCUUCUUCCAAGCCUCACUUCAAGACCAGCAGCGGCAAUUCUCUCACCUCCUCGAUUCACACUAGUAGCGUCCACGAGUUGCUUGAAUGUCCUGUUUGUACCAACUCCAUGUAUCCUCCGAUUCACCAGGUCUGGCUCUCUCUUUACCCUCUGUUAGCGUUUGAUUGUUAUUCUUAGUCUUCCAUUGCUAAUUGGGGGAAUUUUCAGCUUGUGGAUUUCAAACUGUUUAGGGUUUUUGUUCUGAUUGGGAAUUUGAAAUGCUAGUCUUGCUUUGGUUUCUAUUUGGGCAUCUAGAAUCAUAUUUCUGAAUUGAGAAAAAAGUUGAGUUGAGGUUUCUGAAUUUAGAUAAGUCGAGAAAGUUGAGUUGAGGUUUGGAAGAGAUUGUGAGAGGAAGGCUGAAUCGAGUGAUAGAAGAGAUUCUAAGUGAAACUUUGUUUUCCCAAACUACUCAAGUGGAAAUUCAACUUUCCUGGGCAUCCUUUAUAUCCGUUCAUUCAAAAUUCGUUUCACAAGCUCUUCUCAACCUCAAUCUUAAUUCAACUUUCUUAAGAAAACAUGAUUCUACUGAUUUUGAUGGAUGAAUCUUUUUGUUUGUGCAGUGCCAGAACGGCCAUACGCUCUGUUCGACCUGCAAAGCAAUGGUGCACAACAGGUGCCCGACCUGCAGACAAGAGCUCGGAGAUAUCAGAUGUCUGGCAUUGGAGAAGCUGGCCGAAUCGCUCGAGCUUCCCUGCAAGUACAUGUACCUCGGAUGUGCUGAGAUUUUCCCUUACUACAGCAAACUCCAGCACGAAUCACUCUGCAACUUCAGACCCUACAACUGCCCUUACGCCGGUUCCGAGUGUUCCAUUGUUGGAGACGUCCCUUUCCUCGUUGCUCAUCUGAGGAACGAUCACAAGGUGGAUAUGCAUUCCGGGUGCACUUUCAACCACCGUUACGUGAAGUCCAAUCCACGCGAAGUUGACAAUGCGACUUGGAUGUUAACUGUGAGUACUUCUGUUCCUCACUUAUCCUAGAUUUCGUCAAGAAAUGAUUGAAAGCUGCAGCAUUGUUUGUUUUCUCAAUUAUCAUCGACCAGCAACUCUCACCUUGGCCUUGACUUAAUCCGAGUAAUGUGAACUGUAUUUCUUGAUUUGCUUGAAUCUUGAUUACAUGAAUCGGGAAUGAUACAUCAUCAUCUGAUCCCAAAGUUGCAUAAUAAUUGUUCUCUGCCGUUGGAUUCCAGGUUUUCCACUGCUUUGGCCAGUACUUCUGCCUCCAUGUCGAAGCAUUCCAGCUCGAAAUGGCGCCAGUCUACAUGGCAUUCCUCCGAUUCAUGGGUGACGAAGCAGAAGCCCGGAACUACAGCUACAGCCUAGAGGUCGGUGGGUACGACCGCAAGCUCAUCUGGGAAGGGACUCCCAGAAGCAUCAGAGAUAGUCACAGGAAGGUCAGGGACAGCUAUGACGGGCUGAUUAUCCAGAGGAACAUGGCGCUUUUCUUCUCAGGCGGCGACAGGAAAGAGCUAAAGCUGCGAGUUACCGGCCGGAUAUGGAAAGAACAGCACAAUCCAGAUGGAGGAGGAGCAUCGUCCUUGCCAAACACCUCUACUUAACUGGGCUGCUUUGAAAUCAGUUUAUGUUGUGUUGUGAAGCUAGUAUCUUCAGGAUCUGUAUAAAUUUAUCAUGUUCCUGAAGAAACAGCUUCUUUUGUUAUUGACGGUUAAGAAUAUUCCUUCAGAACCUGUUACCACUUUCCCUCGAAACAAUGCCAUAAUCUCAAUUCAUCCAUUGAAUCUAUAUAAUAAUUAUUAAUCAUCAGUGUUCUGUAAAGUAGCAUGAUAUAAUGAUAUAUUUAGCCUGGAGAUUCUGCCGGUUCUCAGCCUGGUGAUUUCAGGUUCGAAUACUGAGGAGCGUAUUCCUCACUGUCAGCGUUACAAAGUCGCAUAUGUGCAAGGGUUCCUAAAAAAAACAGCAUGAUGACCAUUAGAGUUGCAACCAUAGUAUUGAUGAUGUAUUCAAUCUCCAUAGACUGCAUCUCCAAGACUUAUCUGUUGAUUCAGUCUUUGCAUAGUUGGUUCGACUCAUCGCAUUCAGACGACUGAAAGUGUCAUUAGGACAGUCCAUUAAAGCUAAACUCCUGGCUUGCUCGAGGGACAGUUCCCUAUCCCUUGUGCGACGAUGCUCCGUUUACUAGCUCCUGAAAGCCAUCCCUUGCGCGCUGAUACCCUAAUGGCCAAGGAAAAUCCAAGACGACAGUUCCUAGCGGAAUGAUGCUCUGUUCACUGCCUCCUGACGGCCGAGUUGAUAACCCACCGGCCAAGGAAAAUCCAAGACAAUGACUUAGAUGCGUUCUUUCUCGACACUAGACGGCUUGAGAUUCGUUACAGAAGUCCAAAGCAUUAGUUGAAGAACCAAGGGUACUAACAUACUCCAGCCACUUCAUGUCUUGCACCAGUUCAUCCAAUCUCAGGUAUAUCUCCUCGAAAUGGGGACUGGACCGAUCAUCGGCGAUGAAAGAAUGAACCGCAUUAUUAACCUGGACCCAACUCCAACCAGGAACCUUCUUCACCUUCCUCUCCUUCAUCAGCCUGGUAAGACUGGCUUUCUCAUCCCAUCUCCUAAGACGUGCAUACAUGUUCGAUAAGAUGACGUAACUGCAGUGCUCCUCCGGCUCUAGCUCUAGCAGAUGGCUCGCCACUUGAGCUGCUAGUUCCAUGUUACCACACGCUCUGCAAGCAGCCAGUAAAGUUUUCAACACCAUGGCAUCCGGUUUAUAAGGCAUCAACUCGAUCAAGUCCUUUGCCUCGUUUAAAUACCCAGCUCGACCGAAAAGAUCUACUGCACAAGCGUAGUGCUCCAUUCGCAGUGGAAUCCCAUACUCUGAUGCCAUGGAUUUGAGAAACUUCCGGCCUUGCUCAACUAAUCCAAUGUGACUACAUGCCGUCAGAACUGCUACAAAGGUUAUAUGGUCUAACUUCACCCGGUUUCCCCUCAUUUCGGAGAAGAGUUCCAGGGCCGCAUGACGCUGGCCGUGUUGAGCAUAUGCGAAGAUUAUCGAGUUCCAAGUGAUUGCAUUGUCUUUCCUGGUCUCUUCAAAUGAUUCUCGAGCGUCUUCCAGCAUUCCGCAUUUCAAAUACAUAAAAAUCAAUGCACUAGCAACAAAGUCAUUCGACUCCAAACUGGAUUUAACUGUCAAAGCAUGAAUCUGUUUACCUAAUUGCAGAGUAGCUAGAUCCGAGCAAGAUCUAAGCGCAGCUGAGAAAGAAUAGUGAUCAGUUUCCACCAGAGAAGAUCUCAUAUGCUUACAGAACUUCAAUGCAUCUUCACUAAGCGAACUCUGUGAAAACCCAGUUAAUACAGAAUUCCACGAGACCGGGUCUUUGGACUCCAUUGAUCGAAAUACAUCCAAUGCAUCUCGCAUUACUUUAUCAUUGCAACAGAUGUACAUGGCCACCAAUGCAUUGCAGAUCGGCACGUAAUUCGGAAGCCCUUUCCUGAUAAUCAACCCAUGGAGACAUUUUCCAAGGUGAAGUUUUUCUUGAGAGCAAGCACUUAGAAUGCUAGUAUAAGUGUAUAUGUCAGGCUCAAACCCGACCUCUCGCAUUUCCACGAAAAGCUUGAAUGCAGCCUCGUUUUUACCAUGGGCAAGAUAAGCUGCGAGCAUCGAGUUCCACGUAACUACAUCCUGCGAAGAAAGAACUGCACCCUCGAAAAGUCUUUUUGCACAAUCCAACUAACCACAUUCGGAAUAAGCAGUUAUCGUAGUGCUGCACGCGGUAUUCUCAACUCAACCCCAUGUUUUACGGACUUACAGUGAAGCUGCAUUGUUAAGCUACAGAACUUUCAUCAUCAAGUAACGUCAGAAGAGGAGACAAUGAUCCAUCAUCAGGGUCUACACCUUCCUUCUCCAUACAAUCAAACAACCAAAAUGCAGAAUCUCUAUCACAAACCUUCACAAACCCAGAAAUGAGAGCGUUCCACGAUACCGAAUUGUGUUGAGGCAUGUCCUCGAACACAGUAAGAGCAUCAUUGACACUCCCGCACUUGGCAUACAUGUCGAGGAGCGCGCUCCCUGCAUAAACACUCUCGUCGAAACCCAUCUUAACAAUCUGGCAGUGCAGUUGCUGACCGGAUUCGAUCCGGCGAGCAAGAGCAGCACCCUUUAGCAAGCUGCCGAAGCUGUACAAAUCCAGAUAGAACCCACAUCUUGCUUUGGAAAUUUGAACCUCCCAAGCAGUUUCCAAGUUUCCCAAAUUCACAUACCCGGUGAUCAUAGUAUUCCAAGUGACAGAGUCUCUUUGAGGCAUUUCGUCGAACAGUUUGUGAGCAACAUCCAGGGAUGAAGUCCGGCAUCGUACGUAAUUGUUCAGUAUGUUGUUGGCCACGUAUAUAUCGGAAAAUCCUCCAACUUUGAUUGCCUGGCAAUGGUUUAUGGAACUCGAGAUAAAGCAGAGGGGGAAAAGCGCUCAAUGACAGAGGCGAAUCCUCUCAUUCGUUCAUAAGACUGAACUCUGACCAAAGCUCAAGCAAAUUAGACAGCGCUUAAUGCUUAUAGUUCGGUUUAAAAUGAACUUUAGUGGCUAUUUUGCAAAAGAACAUUAGUUUAGUGAUCAUUGAGAUAAUUGUUUUUACUAGUAUAACGCAGCAUCCUACAGCUUCCCUGCUGCCGCCAAUUCCUUUUCUCACUCGGAUGUCGAACCUCCAUUACUAAAAUCACUUCACUACCUAUGGAGCUCCUCAGUCCUCCAUUAAAUUCCCCGCCUUUUUCAAGUCUCGUCUUCCCAACUUACCGUUCCACAAUCCCACACAGUCUCCGCCCACCCUUGUUACUACUAUCAUCUUCCUCCAGGCGCCUCCGCAUCUCAGCCCAUUUCAGCCGCCGCUACCGCCGCAGAAACUCCCUCCGGGAAAAGCUCAACGACGAGCAACAACAGGUGCGUCAGUUGGCCUCUGACCAAAAUCCAGGUCUUGUUAAUUUCAAUGAAUCGAGGGAAAGUUUAGGGAACGAAUUGAAAUCCAAUUUGGAGGAGGAUUCUGUUAUGUUGUCUAGAGUAACGAACUUGGUUGAUCAGUAUGAGAACGAGCUAGAGCUUGAGCUUGGGGAGGAUUCAGCUCAAGUACAUUUGAGAAUGGAAAAAAGAAGGUUAAAUGUGAUUCCGGAGGAAAAUAGCUCUUCGGCUAAGUUUCUUAGCUCGAUUCGGGAUGCAGUGGCUCAUCCUGAAUUUGUUCCGGUACUUUCAAAGGUCGGCAAGCUGGUUUUGCUUAGUUUAGUUGCCGCAUGGGCGCUGAAGAGAUUGCUGAAUUUCGAGGAUAAGAAGAAGGAGGAAUACUCGCAGCUGGAGAAGGAAAUGAUAAGGAGGAAGAUUAAACACAGGAAGGAGAAGGAAGCUUUGGAAGGAAGUAAAUUUGAACUUGUUGUCAUCGAAGAAAGUCUGGAGAAGGCUCGAAUAGGAGAUUUCGAAAGGCCUGAGCUUGAUAAGCAACAGCUUAUGAGGAGUAUAUUCGAAUCAAGUGAUGGAAUGAGUAAAUUGGUGGCUGCAAAUGAUACAUCUGCUGCAGAAGUUGAUCCGAGAAUUCGGGAAAUCCAAGGUAUGGCGAGGAAAGCUCGAGAAACCGAGAGGGGAGAACGUUCAGUCGAGGAAGGAAGCCAAGUGUUUGAUGUAGAGUCGUUCGAUGUUCAUGACUUGGAAUCAUCAGAUGAACCGGAUGUAGAGGAGAGCAAGGGAAUUCAAGACUCCUUGAUCUUACAAGGGGAUGAUGUUUUGGAGAAUGCACAAGGUAUGAUGACCGUAGAACCGCCUUAUUAUCCGAAGAUUGAGGAAGGAGAAGAUACAUCUGAAGUUACAGAAUCAUUUUCCAAGAGUGAGUCACCUUUAUCAAGCGAAUCAGUUUUACCAAAACCAAGGGUUAUAACGUCAGUGAAAGAAGCUAGAGAGUUCCUUUCUAAGAGAAAGUAUGAAGACGUUCGGAAGUGCCAGGCUGAUUCUUUGAGCAUGUCUUGUGAUGAUAACGGCGAUCCAUUUACGUUUAACGGAAAAGAAGGCAUUGUUUCAGAAGAAUUGAAUGUCAACGGAGCAUCGAAUUCGUUACCUUCUGAUACUUUCCAGAGUUCUUCCAAGGACAGUGAAGCUUUUUUAAGCAAGGAGGAUCAUUCCCAAGUCUCCGUGGAAGAGGUUGGAAUAGUUAAAGCUGAAAUACGCUCCGAUUCCUUAAAUGACAUUGACAAUGGCAGUGAUCGAUCCCUUGGUAGUAAAAAGCCUGAAGAAAUGCCGAAGUGGCUGGAGGAACAUAGUAAUGAAUUAGAGCCGAUAUUUAAGAAGAUUGGAGACGGAUUUAAAGAUAAUUUCAAGAUUGCAAGAGAAACAGUGAAUGAGAACUCGAAUAGUUAUAGAAGUCUUGAGUCGUUGAAGCUCGAGUUCCAGGAUGAUGAUGGUGAAGUUGAAUGGAUGAGAGAUGAAUGCCUGAGAGAUAUAGUGUUUCGAGUUCGAGACAACGAGUUGUGUGGUCGCGAUCCGUUUCACAUGAUGGAAGCUGAAGACAAGCGUAGAUUUUUCGAAGGUCUCGAGAAGAAAGUCGAGAGAGAGAACGAAAAACUCCGUAAAGUGCACGAGUAUCUGCACGCAAACAUCGAAAAUCUUGAUUAUGGAGCAGGUAACCACCUCUUGUACUUUUAUCAUUUGCAUCACUCUUUGACAGCACAUCAAUAGCAGGGUAUCAUUUAUGUCUUGCUGCAGUAAGUUAUUGAGCAUGUUGCCAUUCUUGAUCGAAAUAUUAUCAGUUACCUUUAAAUGAUGUUCCAUUCUAGUACAUAGACAUGAUAGUAAGUUGUAUGGUAGGGAUGAUUGUAGAGCUGAUUUACAUGUUGUUAUGCCCGUGUCGUAGAUGGCAUCAGUCUGUACGACACACCAGAAAAGUUCAUGCCGCGUUGGAAAGGUCCCUCGUUCGAAAGGAGCCCCGAGUUUCUUGAUAAUGUAAUACAAAGGGAUGCCACGAAGAAUAACAAACUCCAUAUAGACGCAGAAUCGAAGUUGGCCAACAGUGCCAACCUUUCUUCAGCAAACCAUGUAUUGAGAAAGCACAUCAACAAAAAGGAUCCAAAAGUAUCCAAGGUAGUUAUAGAAGGCAGCGAUGGAUCCGCCAGACCUGGCAAAAAA